ACUUCUCCGCUGCGUAGGGYCCUCGCGUGGCGCUUGCCCCUGGGCCCUCGCGCGAGAGAGCAAUCUAAAGGAACCGUGCCAGGCACGGCCCCCAAGCAACACGGCGCGGCUUCCCUCCCCCC
RNAcentral lists this unclassified non-coding RNA (122 nucleotides) under Haplophyllum villosum. RNAcentral describes it as "sequence contains ITS2". Lineage: Eukaryota; Viridiplantae; Streptophyta; Magnoliopsida; Sapindales; Rutaceae. The record is from RNAcentral.